Molecule: transfer RNA, 52 nt
Filed under: Phaeomonas parva
Lineage: Eukaryota; Pinguiophyceae; Pinguiochrysidales; Pinguiochrysidaceae
Description: partial Selenocysteine transfer RNA
Source: RNAcentral
GCCGCGGUGCCGGCCGCGGGCUUCAAGGCCGCGGGCUUCAGGCCCGCGUGGG